Molecule: ribosomal RNA, 452 nt
Filed under: uncultured bacterium
Lineage: Bacteria
Description: bacterial SSU rRNA
Rfam family: Bacterial small subunit ribosomal RNA
Source: RNAcentral
AACGAACGCUGGCGGCAGGCCUAACACAUGCAAGUCGAACGCCCUCUUCGGAGGGAGUGGCAGACGGGUGAGUAACGCGUGGGAACCUUCCCUGUGGUACGGAAUAACUCAGAGAAAUUUGAGCUAAUACCGUAUACGCCCUUCGGGGGAAAGAUUUAUCGCCAUAGGAUGGGCCCGCGUCGGAUUAGCUAGUUGGUGAGGUAAUGGCUCACCAAGGCAACGAUCCGUAGCUGGUCUUAGAGGAUGAUCAGCCACACUGGGACUGAGACACGGCCCAGACUCCUACGGGAGGCAGCAGUGGGGAAUAUUGGACAAUGGGCGCAAGCCUGAUCCAGCCAUGCCGCGUGAGUGACGAAGGCCCUAGGGUCGUAAAGCUCUUUCGCCUGUGAAGAUAAUGACAGUAGCAGGUAAAGAAACCCCGGCUAACUCCGUGCCAGCAGCCGCCGUAAAAC